CUCCCAAUUUCCUUUAGUUUGUAUAUGCAGCAUUAGAGUUCAUUUGGAAUUUUCAGAGUUUUCUAUUGGUUGAGAAGGAUACAUUUUAUUCGUGAGAAUCAUAAUCAAAAUAAAUUAAAAUGAAAAUCGGAAUGACCACAUCCUUUAAUAUGCUUAGUUUGUGAUGGAAAAUCGAAAAUAGAAUGAAAUUUGAGUAUUAGGAGAAAAUAGAAAUUGAAUUUUGAAGAAUUGAAGUAUUCCCAUCCCUUCUAAAAGUAGAAUGAGAAUGUGACUUUUUUCCAAUUAAAUGAUCAGAACGAAAAUUAUUUAUUUUUAUUCU
RNAcentral lists this long non-coding RNA (319 nucleotides) under Elaeis guineensis (African oil palm). RNAcentral describes it as "long non-coding RNA (EGUI_LNC022457)". The record is from RNAcentral. Lineage: Eukaryota; Viridiplantae; Streptophyta; Magnoliopsida; Arecales; Arecaceae.